AACUUUGCAUCAGGACACUCCAGCUCAACAUCAGGCACCUCCACAUCCACACUGGGGCCUGUUAAAUCUCCCUCCAAUUUUGGCAAAGACACAUCCACAUCCCCUUUGACUUUGGGGCCUUUCAAGUGUAAGUCCACAUCAGGCAUGGAGAUCUUGGGGGUCUUGAAGUGCAUCUCAGGCAUCUUAAACUUGGGCCCUUUCAACUUUGCAUCAGGACACUCCAGCUCAACAUCAGGCACCUCCACACCCACACUGGGACCUGUUAAAUCUCCCUCCAAUUUUGGCACCGACACAUCCACAUCCCCUUUGACUUUGGGGCCUUUCAAGUGUAAGUCCACAUCAGGCAUGGAGAUCUUGGGGGCCUUGAAGUGCAUCUCAGGCAUCUUAAACUUGGG
RNAcentral lists this long non-coding RNA (395 nucleotides) under Homo sapiens (human). RNAcentral describes it as "HSALNT0176218". Lineage: Eukaryota; Metazoa; Chordata; Mammalia; Primates; Hominidae. The record is from RNAcentral.